This 87-nucleotide transfer RNA is filed under the name Escherichia coli. Its description in RNAcentral is "tRNA-Leu". It matches the Rfam family "tRNA". From Rfam's summary of the family: Transfer RNA (tRNA) molecules are approximately 80 nucleotides in length. Their secondary structure includes four short double-helical elements and three loops (D, anti-codon, and T loops). The record is from RNAcentral. Lineage: Bacteria; Pseudomonadati; Pseudomonadota; Gammaproteobacteria; Enterobacterales; Enterobacteriaceae.
GCGAAGGUGGCGGAAUUGGUAGACGCGCUAGCCUCAGGUGUUAGUGUUCUUACGGACGUGGGGGUUCAAGUCCCCCCCCUCGCACCA